This 1000-nucleotide long non-coding RNA is filed under the name Monodelphis domestica (gray short-tailed opossum). RNAcentral's name for it is "lncRNA (ENSMODG00000034769.2)". Lineage: Eukaryota; Metazoa; Chordata; Mammalia; Didelphimorphia; Didelphidae. The record is from RNAcentral.
AUAAAUUAAUUCAAUGAACACAGAACAAGUACCUACUACAUGGGCAGAAAGGCGGCAUACAGCUGUGGAGUCAAAAAGACCAUAUUUCAAGCCUUUCCUCACGUAUGCUGUCAGUGGACAAAUUAUUGCAGCUUUCAGUGCCCCAGGUGGACAACAUUUUUCAUCAUCAGUCCUUCAGAAUUGUCUUCAGAUUAUUAUAUACUGAGAAUAGCUAAGUCAUUCACAGAUGAUCAUUGUACAAUAUUACUGUUAAUGUGUACAAUUUCCCCCUGGUUCUGCUCACUUCACUUUACAUCAGUUCAUGUAAAUUGUGCUAGGUUUUUCUGAAAGCAUCUUGUUCAUCAUUUCUUACAACACAAUGGUAUUCUAUCAGAAUCAACUUGUUCAGUCAUUCCCUGAGUAAUGGGUAUCCCCUCAGUUUCCAGUUCUUUGUCAACAUAAAAAAGAGCUACUAAAAAUAUAUUUGCACAUAUAAGCCCUUUUCCAUUUUUAAAAAUCUCUUUAGGAUACAGACCUAGUAAUGGUAUUGUUAGGUCAAAGGAUAUGUACAGUUUCAUGGCCCUUUGGGUAUAAUUCCAGAUUGCUCUCCAGAAUGGUUGGAUCAGUUCACAUUUCUACCUACAAUGCAUUAGGGUCCCAACUUUCCUAUAUCCCCUCCAACAGUUAUCAUUUUCCCAUUUCUGUCACAUUAACCAAUCUGAUAGGUGUGAGGUGGUACCUCAUAGCUGUUCAGUUUGCAUUUCUUUAAUCAAUAUUGAUUUAGAGCAUUUUUUCAGAUCACUAGAGCUCUUUGAUUUCUUCAUCUGAAAACUUUCUGUUCAUAUCUGUUGGUCAGUUAUCAAUUGGGAAAUAAUGAAAUUAUUUUUAAAAUUUUCAAUCCCAAAUUCUUUCCCUCCUUCCAGUCCCUCCACCCACAGAGAAGGGAAAUAAUAUGAUAGAUGUGAAGUCGCACAAAACAUUUCUUUAUUAACCAUGUUGAAAAAAGCAAGAAAAAGGUGAA